This 254-nucleotide ribosomal RNA is filed under the name uncultured bacterium. RNAcentral describes it as "partial 16S ribosomal RNA". It matches the Rfam family "Bacterial small subunit ribosomal RNA", at positions 524 to 776 of the family's 1533-position model. The record is from RNAcentral.
UACGUAGGGUGCGAGCGUUGUCCGGAAUUAUUGGGCGUAAAGGGCUCGUAGGCGGUCUGUCACGUCGGGAGUGAAAACACGGGGCUUAACCCCGUGCCUGCUUCCGAUACGGGCAGACUAGAGGUAUGCAGGGGAGAACGGAAUUCCUGGUGUAGCGGUGAAAUGCGCAGAUAUCAGGAGGAACACCGGCGGCGAAGGCGGGGUCUCUGGGCCAUAACUGACGCUGAGGAGCGAAAGCGUGGGGAGCGAACAGG